CCGGGAAGUUAAUAGGAUUGUAUUGCACGUUAUUAUCUGAAUUAAGUGAAACGGUUUCGCUUGUGCUUGUGUACUCUGCUUGUGUGCAUGCGGAUCUGGACGACUGCUCCAGCAGGCUCCCCCUCUCCACGCAGCUGAUGGAUCCAAAGGAACAGCAAAGACCGAUAUGGUUUCGCACCAGCGGCGUCACAGGAGUUGUAGAGCGAGGUCGCAAGUGACAAGGAACUACCUUCGGGACUCCGGCACCGGAUUUUUCCUCAGUGAUUGGCAUAUGUUAAGCACGUGAUCUAUGCCCAUCUUUAGACCACUGUAGGAG
Molecule: long non-coding RNA, 316 nt
Organism: Penaeus monodon (black tiger shrimp)
Lineage: Eukaryota; Metazoa; Arthropoda; Malacostraca; Decapoda; Penaeidae
Exons: 3
Source: RefSeq, a predicted model, not a curated record